This is a long non-coding RNA of Austrofundulus limnaeus, 2150 nucleotides long. RefSeq lists it as uncharacterized. The transcript has 2 exons. The record is from RefSeq and is a predicted model, not a curated record. Lineage: Eukaryota; Metazoa; Chordata; Actinopteri; Cyprinodontiformes; Rivulidae.
CUUCCCCGAUCCAGUAGAUUUGAAUGGUUUGCACCAGUAAACUUGACUGGUCUGUACCAGUAUGUUGUUCUGGUCUGAUCCAGUAGGUUUUACUGGUUUGCACCAGUAAACUUGACUGGUCUGCACCAGUAUGUUUGACCGGUCUGUACCAGUUGGUUUGACUGGUCUGUACCAGUAGGUUUGACUGGUCUGUACCAGUAGGUUUGACUGGUCUGUACCAGUAGGUUUGACUGGUCUGCACCAGUAGACUUGACUGGUCUUCACCAGUAGGCUUGACUGCUCUGUACCAGUAGGCUUGACCGGUCUGCACCAGUAGACUUGAAUGGUUUGCACCAGUAAACUUGACUGGUCUGCACCAGUAGGUUUGAUUGGUUUGCACCAGUAAACUUGACUGGUCUGUACCAGUAGGUUUGACUGGUCUGAUCCAGUCGAUUUGACUGGUCUGUACCAGUAAACUUGACAUGUCUAUACCAGUAGGUUUGACUUCCCUGAUCCAGUAGAUUUGAAUGGUUUGCACCAGUGAACCUGACUGGUCUGUACCAGUAUGUUUUACUGGUCUGAUUCAGUAGGUUUUACUGGUUUGCACUAGUAGUUUUGACUGGUCUGCUCCAGUAGGUUUGACCAGUCUGUACCAGUAGGUUUGACCGGUCUGAUCCAGUAGGUUUGACUGGUCUGUACCAGUAGACUUGACUGGUCUGCUCCAGUAGGUUUGACCAGUCUGUACCAGUAGGUUUGACUGGUCUGAUCCAGUAGGUUUGACUGGUCUGAUCCAGUAGGUUUGACUGGUCUGAUCCAGUAGGUUUGAGUGGUCUGCACCAGUAGGUUUGAGUGGUCUGCACCAGUAGGUUUGACUGGUCUGAUCCAGUAGGUUUGACUGGUCUGAUCCAGUAGGUUUGAGUGGUCUGCACCAGUAGGUUUGACCAUUUUGCACCAGUAAGUUUGACCAUUUUGCACCAGUAGGUUAGUCCGGUUUCCACCAGUAGAUUUGACCAGUUUGUACCAGUAGGUUUGACUGGUCUGCACCAGUAGGAGACAGUCAGCAUGGCUAGUUGGUACAAAAAUCGUCAUUGCUGGUCAAACAGGUUUGAAAUCUGGAUGGUUGUAGUUUACAGAUUUGUAGCUGGUGGAUGUGCACAUGUUGUAAAGACUAGAAAAUUGUACACUGCCAAAAGUAAACUUCCUUCAUAAUAACUGAGCAAUUUCUGCAAAUACUGAUUGUAAAGUUUGACUGAGGUCUUUGGAAAAAUACUUUAAAAAUUUUAGUUCUACUUUAUCAUUUUCAAAUUUGCUCUUCUGAAGUGUAAAGUGUUUGUUUGUCUCAAUUGUCUUUAGCAGGUGUUGAUUUUUAUAUUUAUAUACCAAGCUGAAGAAAGCACAAGACUAAAUGUCAGUUUAAAUGAACUCUUCUUGAUGGUGUUUUGUGAUUACUCAAGUCCUYCUGUGUCACUGCUGUUCCUGUGGAUUCCACUCCUCUCCAGGAGAUGAGAGAAAUAAUGAUCAUUACAAACAGGCCUGUUCACGUCACGCUUCUUCGCCUCAAUCAUUUCACUUUAAAAACACAGAGCGCAGUAAUGGUUCCAGCAAUGACUGAGGUGAAAAAUCAUCACCAGCUCCUUUCUAAUGACUUCCUUCUCAUCAUGAAAACACAAGAAAAAAAAAAAACAUCCAAGAAUGUUUCCUGAGUUUCACCUACAUUAUAUAUUUAUAUCAUGAAAUGAUCGUCAGAGGCUGUUUCUGGUCAAAAGAUUGUAAAAAAAGCUCUCAGAUGGAUAUGAAUGAAAAGAUUAAAUGUAAAUACGAACAUUGUUUUGUGAAAUACUUGAAAUCCCUUUAAUUCGUUGUUGUUGUUGAACGUGUCGUACCCUUCUUGUAGAGACAACCUUCUCAUCAGAAUGAAGACGGUGUGUAAAAUAGAAGCUCGGUAGCCAAGGACCACCAUUUCUAAGUGCCUGAACACGUGUCCCAUCCAUGAGACUGAAAAUUUCCCCUCUGGGUUUGCUUUAGAGUUGUAUUUAUUUUUCGGUGGAAUCUUCCUGUAACAUAUAACAGUUGUUUGUGCUCGGAUGAGUGUUACCGCCGACUAUCAUGGCUGUGUUGUAAUGGCAUGAUUUACAGAGAAUGAAAUAAAGCAGGAAUGCUCUGACCCAUGG